AUAUUCUGCCCCACGGGUAAGGAUGAGAAGCUUCGACUAAGGUUCGACUCGAGCGAAGCGAGAGAACGUUGCCGCAGGCAACGGCCCGAAGGGCGAGGCGCUUUAGCGCCGAGUAAUCCUUCCCCCACCACUG
Molecule: small RNA, 133 nt
Filed under: Klebsiella pneumoniae
Lineage: Bacteria; Pseudomonadati; Pseudomonadota; Gammaproteobacteria; Enterobacterales; Enterobacteriaceae
Description: RtT sRNA
Rfam family: RtT RNA
About the family: This family represents a bacterial cis-regulatory element known as RtT RNA. The exact function of RtT is unknown although it is thought that it may be involved in changing the cellular response in relation to amino acid starvation.
Source: RNAcentral